Lagopus muta (rock ptarmigan) is the source of this 1400-nucleotide long non-coding RNA. RefSeq lists it as uncharacterized. The transcript is spliced from 2 exons. The record is from RefSeq and is a predicted model, not a curated record. Lineage: Eukaryota; Metazoa; Chordata; Aves; Galliformes; Phasianidae.
GAUCUCUUUCUGGCAAUCCCUCCUUUGGAAUUUUCUAAUCAGCCCAGGGCAUGGAACUUCUUCACAGAUAUUGAAGUGUAGUGGGGACCAAAGUAUCACAGACACAGCAGACUGCAGUAUCCAAAAUAGAAUGAAGAUGUGUGGAAAUCCUGAACUGAGAUACAGCCACAAACUCUGAGGUGCCUGAACUUCAAAACAAAUUCUGCUGUUCUGUUAUUCUGAAUUUCCGUACAUAACUCAAGGUAUGCAUCAGCAGAUGCUUGUAAUACAUUUAGUUCUAAAAUUGUUGAUCUGAGCAUGUUUGGCACAUACAUAAGCUAGCUAGCCAGGAACCAGAAAACUGCAUGUUCUUCUCCUGAGUUCUUCAGAGGUGCCUGCACAAGGAAACAAAAAAGACAACCAACUUCUAGGAGUCAAAUAUAACAGUUAAAGAGGGAACUUAUAUUAAAAUGGAAUGAUAGUGAUGAAAUUCAGUCCUUACUCCUCAAAGUAUAUUAAUAUUUAUGAAUUUUACAUAUGUAUAUUCUUAUAUAUGAAGUAGAUAUUUUUCCUCACUGUUGUUUAACAUUAAAACCCAAAAUAACUCUGGAAUUAGUAAUCAGAAAACAUGUAUCUCUCAAGUCUGUCUGAGCUCAGUAAAUUGUAACUGUGCUUACAACAUCUCAGCAUGGAAACAUGCAUUCCUGUCUGGAUUAAAUUUGUUUGUUCUUUUUUCUCUUCUGUCUUUUAAUAACUGCAAAUUGAGCAUUAGGAAUGACACACUUCACCCCUACUACCAACAAAUGGCCUGUAAAAUUGCCUCGUGAAACUACUGCUGUACAGUUUACUUCAUUCCAGAUCUUGUAUUGUCAGUCAACUGGUGCAACAGAUGAAGUGGUGCUCCAUCAGCAGAAGACAAAAGACCAUUCUGGAAGGACUGAACACCAUGUGCUGGUUUCACCUGUCAUUGCAGAGAUCAGGAAAAGGACCCAGAAUGCAAAGUGAUUUUCCCAGUAACCCUGAAUCAGGUCCCAAGACACUGUACCAAGCUGAGUGUCCCUGAUUGCCUUCAUGGUGAAAGUGACUUUGUAUUGACUAUAGAAACAUACAGACAUCUCCUUAGAGAUAGGAUGGAAUAGUCCUUUACAUCACUUUCAGAGGGACACAAAUUAUCCCAUAGUGAAAUAUCUGUGAGACCAGAAAUCUAAAACAAAGGUUUUUUUUGGUACAAACAGCAGCCUACCAAUUAAAUAUUUUGGGUAUAUCCAGGAUGGCUCUGUGUCGUGCAUACUACAGGCUUGACCUAAACAGCCUUGGUUAGAAACUAGGUAUUCUCCAAAUAUUAUCACAGAGAUGAAUAACUUAAAAAUAUUAUUAGCAUGACUCCUCUAGAGUGAGAAGUUACGUUUUUGUUUUUUUUU